AGCAACUGCCCUUCAAUAGAAGUUGUGGAUUUGUUUUCCCAGGGUCCUCGAGGCCCAACUGGACAGAAGGGACUCCAGGGACCUCUGGGUCGGCCUGGAGAUGGAGGGCCUGUGGGGCUACAGGGCCCACCAGGCCCUCCAGGUGUCCCAGGUACUGAAGGGGCACCUGGAAAACCUGGACCCAGGGGAAGCAUUGGGCCUUCAGGACAUCAGGGGCUACAAGGUCCAGUGGGAAUCCCAGUAAGUGUGUACCUGCUAUUGGCUGCAGUUUUUACUGUAUUUUUAUUUUUUAAGCGUACCACCACUUUAUUGAUUUAUAAUAACAUACAGUAAGAACCAAACACCUAGGUUUGUUGGUUCUGUUCAGGGUCCACAGGGUGAGGAUGGAUUACCGGGAGCAUCAGGGGAACAAGGCCCAAAGGUAAAAAUGCAUGUAAGAAUCAUGUAAUAGAUUGUGAUUAGAUAUGUAAAAGAAAACGUUUUGAUAAAAUGUAUUUUAUGAUACAUAAUAUAUUUACUGUAAUGAUUAGGGUUUACUUGGUUCACCUGGAGAUGCUGGCCCCCCAGGACAAGUUGGACAACAGGUGGGUCAUUUGUUGUUAAAAACUGUGUUCUUUUCCAUCUAUUAGCUGUCAUUUGAAACGAGAUAAAAAAAUAUUAAAUACUGUCUGCAAUUUAUUAACUCAGUGUGGUGUGAUUUUGUAAUUAUUGUAAUGUUUUUUUUAAUUAGGGUCUACCUGGUCAAACCGGAAUUGUGGGCCCACCUGGACGGAAAGCAGACCAGGCCUGUGAUCAAUCUAUUACAAUCUUAAGUCUUUAUUAUACUGUUACACUAGCAGCCUAAUCACAGUGAAUGCUUCCAAAAGCCCUCUUAAGCAAAGUGCAAAUCCUAUUUAUUUUCACACAUCUAAUACAGUAUGUCUUCUACUUCCGCCUCUCGAGGAGUGCAGACGUGUUUUCUCUCUGCUCCUACUCUGCUUUUGCUUGCAGUGUCCUUGUCUUUUUCUGAGCACCCUGAUCUGCUAUU
Molecule: long non-coding RNA, 1027 nt
Filed under: Betta splendens (Siamese fighting fish)
Lineage: Eukaryota; Metazoa; Chordata; Actinopteri; Anabantiformes; Osphronemidae
Description: lncRNA (ENSBSLG00000025164.1)
Source: RNAcentral